GGACGAACGCUGGCGGCGUGCCUAACACAUGCAAGUCAACUUGACUGAAGGAGCAAUCUGACAGUAGAGUGGCGCAAGGGUGCGUAACGCGUAAGUAACUUGCCCAAGGUAAGGAAUAACGUCGAGAAAUCGGCGCUAAUACCUCAUAAUGCAGCGGAUCCGCAUGGAUAUGUUGUUAAAGGUUAUCGCCUUGGGAUAGGCUUGCGUCUGAUUAGCUAGUUGGUGUGGUAACGGCACACCAAGGCUACGAUCAGUAACUGGUCUGAGAGGAUGAUCAGUCACACUGGAACUGAGACACGGUCCAGACUCCUACGGGAGGCAGCAGUGAGGAAUAUUGGGCAAUGCUCGAAAGAGUGACCCAGCAACGCCGCGUGGAGGAUGAAGGUAUUCUAUAUCGUAAACUCCUGUGAGAGCAGACGAAAGACAGAUUAUUAAUCUGGAUGACUGUAUGCUCAGAGGAAGCCCCGGCUAACUACGUG
RNAcentral lists this ribosomal RNA (479 nucleotides) under uncultured bacterium. Its description in RNAcentral is "bacterial SSU rRNA". It matches the Rfam family "Bacterial small subunit ribosomal RNA", at positions 27 to 507 of the family's 1533-position model. The record is from RNAcentral.